RNAcentral lists this microRNA precursor (198 nucleotides) under Oryza brachyantha (malo sina). RNAcentral describes it as "MIR812 microRNA precursor family". It matches the Rfam family "MIR812 microRNA precursor family". Lineage: Eukaryota; Viridiplantae; Streptophyta; Magnoliopsida; Poales; Poaceae. The record is from Rfam by way of RNAcentral.
AAUAAGUCCAUUUUUCAGUUUUUAAGAUGCAAUGCAUUGACUCUUCGUCUUAUUUGAAAUUUUUUUUGUGAUUAAUAUUUUUAUUGUUACUAGAUGAUAAAAUAUGAAUAAUACUUUACGUGUGGCUAAUUUUUUUAAAUUUUUUUACAAAUUUUUCAAAUAAAACGAAUGGUCAAAGCGUUGGACGCAUAAAUUAAA